AUUGAACGCUGGCGGCAGGCCUAACACAUGCAAGUCGAACGAGUGGCGGACGGGUGAGUAAUGUCUGGGAAACUGCCUGAUGGAGGGGGAUAACUACUGGAAACGGUAGCUAAUACCGCAUACCAUCGGAUGUGCCCAGAUGGGAUUAGGUAGUAGGUGGGGUAAAGGCUAACCUAGGCGACGAUCCCUAGCUGGUCUGAGAGGAGGACCAGCCACACUGGGACUGAGACACGGACCAGACUCCUACGGGAGGCAGCAGUGGGGAAUAUUGCACAAUGGGCGCAAGCCUGACGCAGCCAUGCCUCGUGUUUGAAGAAGGCCUUCGGGUUGUAAAGUACUUUCAGCGGGGAGGCGUUACCCGCAGAAGAAGCACCGGCUAACUCCGUGCCAGCAGCCGCGGUAAUAC
RNAcentral lists this ribosomal RNA (406 nucleotides) under uncultured bacterium. RNAcentral's name for it is "partial 16S ribosomal RNA". It matches the Rfam family "Bacterial small subunit ribosomal RNA", at positions 30 to 526 of the family's 1533-position model. The record is from RNAcentral.